GUGCUCCCUCCGGCAGCAUACAUACUAAAAUUGGAAUGGUACAGAGAUUAGCAUGGACCCUGUGCAAGCAUGACAUGCAAAUUUGUGAAGCAUUCCAUAUAUUU
Arvicanthis niloticus (Nile rat) is the source of this 104-nucleotide small nuclear RNA. The record is from RefSeq and is a predicted model, not a curated record. Lineage: Eukaryota; Metazoa; Chordata; Mammalia; Rodentia; Muridae.